CCAUAAGAUUGGCCUGCCUUGUCUGUGCCCAUAAGAUUGGCCUGCUUAGUCUGUGCCCAUAAGAUUGGCCUGCCGUGGCAGUGCCCAUAAGAUUGACCUACUCGGUCUGGGCCAUAAGAUUGACCUGCCUUACCUGUGCCCAUAAGUCUGUUUGACCUCUACUACAUACAUAUAUAUUUGGCACCUAGACCCGUACGGCUGCUGGCCGAAGAUAACAUAUAGAGGUUUUUUUUCUACUGGGAUCACAUAUAACACUAGCGCCAAUCUCAAUUACUCCAGUAUAUCCGGGUGACAUGUGUUUUUUCUACCCCCCAGGCUCACUCUGAGGUCAAGAUGGACACUCCUACCCAAGAGAGCCUACAGGCUAUGAUCAACGCGGCCGUUGCCACUUCAGUGGAGAAAGCACUCUCGCGCGCACUACCUAGACCAUCCCAGGACAGGGAUGUACCGGAGACUCAGUGCACACUGAUGGAUUCCGACCCUGGCUCCCCGGACGGAGAACAGGCACGCCCCCCCCAAACGCUGCUGGAAGGGUGAAGACCCGGAACCGAGUUCCCGGAACGGUAAGGCCCCUGCAAAAAGACCUAAGGGGGCGAUUGCCUCGCCUUCAACACACCGACGAUAUUAUCUCCCUCGAGAGGAGGAAGAGUUCCCCCCACCUACACCCCUGUCCGUCCUAGACGAAUGGCGGCCAGAUCAAUCCCCCUCAGAGGACGAAGGGGGCUGGGACAUAGAGGAACCGGAGGAUUCAGCGUACUGGCAGGACGCUGAUGAAGAGGCCUCACUACAUUUACACCCCUCCUUAGAGGAGGACGUUUUCCUGGACUCGUCAGGCGAACCUUUAUUUGAUCCACGCUCCAUCCGGCACCCCAGAUCUCCUGAGUGGUCACUACCGGACCACCUAGCCCAG
Non-coding RNA from Pelobates cultripes (western spadefoot toad), 910 nucleotides. The record is from the annotation of a GenBank genome assembly. NCBI's taxonomy places the organism in Eukaryota, Metazoa, Chordata, Amphibia, Anura, Pelobatidae.